GUCUAAUACCGGAUUCCACUCCUGCCUGCAUGGGCGGGGGUUGAAAGCUCCGGCGGUGAAGGAUGAGCCCGCGGCCUAUCAUAUUGUUGGUGGGGUAAUGGCCCACCAAGGCGACGACGGGUAGCCGGCCUGAGAGGGCGACCGGCCACACUGGGACUGAGACACGGCCCAGACUCCUACGGGAGGCAGCAGUGGGGAAUAUUGCACAAUGGGCGAAAGCCUGAUGCAGCGACGCCGCGUGAGGGAUGACGGCCUUCGGGUUGUAAACCUCUUUCAGCAGGGAAGAAGCGAAAGUGACGGUACCUGCAGAAGAAGCGCCGGCUAACUACGUGCCAGCAGCCGCGGUAAUACGUAGGGCGCAAGCGUUGUCCGGAAUUAUUGGGCGUAAAGAGCUCGUAGGCGGCUUGUCACGUCGGAUGUGAAAGCCCGAGGCUUAACCUCGGGUCUGCAUUCGAUACGGGCUAGCUAGAGUGUGGUAGGGGAGAUCGGAAUUCCUGGUGUAGCGGUGAAAUGCGCAGAUAUCAGGAGGAACACCGGUGGCGAAGGCGGAUCUCUGGGCCAUUACUGACGCUGAGGAGCGAAAGCGUGGGGAGCGAACAGGAUUAGAUACCCUGGUAGUCCACGCCGUAAACGUUGGGAACUAGGUGUUGGCGACAUUCCACGUCGUCGUGCCGCAGCUAACGCAUUAAGUUCUCCGCCUGG
RNAcentral lists this ribosomal RNA (702 nucleotides) under Streptomyces sp. RNAcentral describes it as "bacterial SSU rRNA". It matches the Rfam family "Bacterial small subunit ribosomal RNA", at positions 161 to 876 of the family's 1533-position model. The record is from RNAcentral. Lineage: Bacteria; Bacillati; Actinomycetota; Actinomycetes; Kitasatosporales; Streptomycetaceae.